GACGAACGCUGGCGGCGUGCUUAACACAUGCAAGUCGAACGGAAAGGCCCUGCUUUUGUGGGGUGCUCGAGUGGCGAACGGGUGAGUAACACGUGAGUAACCUGCCCUUGACUUUGGGAUAACUUCAGGAAACUGGGGCUAAUACCGGAUAGGAGCUCCUGCUGCAUGGUGGGGGUUGGAAAGUUUCGGCGGUUGGGGAUGGACUCGCGGCUUAUCAGCUUGUUGGUGGGGUAGUGGCUUACCAAGGCUUUGACGGGUAGCCGGCCUGAGAGGGUGACCGGCCACCUUGGGCCUGCGAUACGGCCCAGACUCCUACGGGAGGCAGCAGUGGGGAAUAUUGCACAAUGGGCGGAAGCCUGAUGCAGCAACGCUGCGUGCGGGAUGACGGCCUUCGGGUUGUAAACCGCUUUCGACUGUGACGAAGCGUGAGUGACGGUAAUGGGUAAAGAAGCACCGGCUAACUACGUG
RNAcentral lists this ribosomal RNA (468 nucleotides) under uncultured bacterium. Its description in RNAcentral is "partial 16S ribosomal RNA". It matches the Rfam family "Bacterial small subunit ribosomal RNA", at positions 28 to 507 of the family's 1533-position model. The record is from RNAcentral.